This 723-nucleotide ribosomal RNA is filed under the name uncultured bacterium. RNAcentral's name for it is "bacterial SSU rRNA". It matches the Rfam family "Bacterial small subunit ribosomal RNA", at positions 141 to 850 of the family's 1533-position model. The record is from RNAcentral.
GGAUAACACUUGGAAACAGGUGCUAAUACCGUAUAACACUAUUUUCCGCAUGGAAGAAAGUUGAAAGGCGCUUUUGCGUCACUGAUGGAUGGACCCGCGGUGCAUUAGCUAGUUGGUGAGGUAACGGCUCACCAAGGCCACGAUGCAUAGCCGACCUGAGAGGGUGAUCGGCCACACUGGGACUGAGACACGGCCCAGACUCCUACGGGAGGCAGCAGUAGGGAAUCUUCGGCAAUGGACGAAAGUCUGACCGAGCAACGCCGCGUGAGUGAAGAAGGUUUUCGGAUCGUAAAACUCUGUUGUUAGAGAAGAACAAGGAUGAGGGUAGAACGUUCAUCCCUUGACGGUAUCUAACCAGAAAGCCACGGCUAACUACGUGCCAGCAGCCGCGGUAAUACGUAGGUGGCAAGCGUUGUCCGGAUUUAUUGGGCGUAAAGCGAGCGCAGGCGGUUUCUUAAGUCUGAUGUGAAAGCCCCCGGCUCAACCGGGGAGGGUCAUUGGAAACUGGGAGACUUGAGUGCAGAAGAGGAGAGUGGAAUUCCAUGUGUAGCGGUGAAAUGCGUAGAUAUAUGGAGGAACACCAGUGGCGAAGGCGGCUCUCUGGUCUGUAACUGACGCUGAGGCUCGAAAGCGUGGGGAGCGAACAGGAUUAGAUACCCUGGUAGUCCACGCCGUAAACGAUGAGUAUAGAGUGUUGGAGGGUUUCCGCCCUUCAGUGCUGCA